UGUUAUGCUGCGUUCGGAACUCCUCGUCCAACUAGUUGGACAAGUUGGACAAGAUGUUUUGACCGUUCGGAACCCCUACUUUCUCGUCCUGGACAAGUUGUCCAUCUCGUCCAACUCGCCCUGGUUCGCAGCGGGGCAACCAAGACGAGAUGACGUCACAAAGGCGUUUGUUUACAAACAGAGAUAAUGGCAGUCGUGGAGAAAAUUGUGUGUUCAAAGAUCACGAUAAUAAUUAUUGGCUGGAUGCAGAUGGUUCAGUGCCAUUCCCAGAAAAUUCGGUGGUGUACCGUACAAGUACCGAUUUUCCUGGGAGGUAUUUUGCAGACCAGGAGUUAACAGUGGAAUGGGCUCUCGAGUGGCUACCACGAACAGUUGAAG
This is a long non-coding RNA of Penaeus monodon (black tiger shrimp), 378 nucleotides long. RefSeq lists it as uncharacterized. The record is from RefSeq and is a predicted model, not a curated record. The transcript has 3 exons. NCBI's taxonomy places the organism in Eukaryota, Metazoa, Arthropoda, Malacostraca, Decapoda, Penaeidae.